GCCGGUCUUAAUCGACGGACGGAUUAGCUGUGAAUCCCCUGAAGAAAAAGAAGAGAAAAAUCGCGACAGAAUAAGUAGGCUGAUCAGACUCCUGUCCUGGUCCCAGAUUACGGAGGAGAGAGAGCCAUCUCUGACAUGAGUAUUUCUGGGGACAACAAGACUCAAAAUGGAGUCCCAGAAUCAGAGAGGGUCUCACUGCAGAUGUCAAAGUCCCCAGCACCGAGC
Molecule: long non-coding RNA, 225 nt
Organism: Megalops cyprinoides (Indo-Pacific tarpon)
Lineage: Eukaryota; Metazoa; Chordata; Actinopteri; Elopiformes; Megalopidae
Exons: 3
Source: RefSeq, a predicted model, not a curated record